GAUGAACGCUGGCUACAGGCUUAACACAUGCAAGUCGAGGGGAAACGACGGGGAAGCUUGCUUCCCCGGGCGUCGACCGGCGCACGGGUGAGUAACGCGUAUCCAACCUGCCUCUGACUGAGGGAUAACCCGUCGAAAGUCGGCCUAAUACCUCAUGGCAUCGUCUGCGGGCAUCCAACGACGAUUAAAGAUUUCAUCGGUCAGAGAUGGUGAUGCGUCUGAUUAGCUUGUUGGCGGGGUAACGGCCCACCAAGGCGACGAUCAGUAGGGGUUCUGAGAGGAAGGUCCCCCACAUUGGAACUGAGACACGGUCCAAACUCCUACGGGAGGCAGCAGUGAGGAAUAUUGGUCAAUGGGCGAGAGCCUGAACCAGCCAAGUAGCGUGCAGGAUGACGGCCCUAUGGGUUGUAAACUGCUUUUAUGCGGGGAUAAAGUGAGGGACGUGUCCUUCAUUGCAGGUACCGCAUGAAUAAGGACCGGCUAAUUCCGUG
Molecule: ribosomal RNA, 491 nt
Filed under: uncultured bacterium
Lineage: Bacteria
Description: partial 16S ribosomal RNA
Rfam family: Bacterial small subunit ribosomal RNA
Source: RNAcentral